UCCAUUCAUUCGUAUUGCGCGUCUCGUCUGUGCCGGUCGUCCAAAGCUGCUCAGGUCUUACAGAUUGUGCUUCAUUUGUCAUCGAACACACAGACACUCACACACAUACACGCAGCCACAGACACUUCAUAGAAUCAUACAGUUAGGUAGACAGUGUUCAGCAACAAAGACAAAACAGUGCUUUAAAGUGCCGAAGUGAACAUUCGCAGCAAUCAAAUCGAAUACAACACAAAAAGCAAACGCGUUAUUCAUGCAAAAUAAAAUCAAAUCAAAUGAAAUAAUACAAAAUAAACUUGACUAUCGCCAGACACAGACACACGCAUACACUCAAAUGUGAAGAGAGACAACAAAACAGCAGCAGGUCGGCCAGACAACUCACAAACACACAAACAUAUACAGCUAGCAGUUAGCAGCUACAGUUAUCAAAUGCGGCCGCCGCCGGCCUGUCAACUUGUCCAGACAGCGAGAGCGAGAGCGAGAGAGAACGAUACAGAGAGGGAGAGAUGGGGGGAGAGAGAGCGACAGCGAGAGUGUGUGGGCUAGAGCGAGCGAGCGAGAGCGGGCCUAUAAAUUUCAUAUGUGCAAUGUUUGUGCCUGGCUGCUGUGCUGUGCGUUGUAUCAGCUAACCGGAUGUUGAUUUGUUGGCCGCAACAAACACAAAACAUGGUCCAAGCCAAGCAGCAGCCAUCUUAACACUCACACCCAUGCCCACACACACACACUCAUAGAGAGAGAAAGAGAGGCAUACGCACUCCCUCGCUGGUACAUUUGCAACACUGGCGCUGCCUUUAAGCACGAUGAAAAAGAAUGCAAAAUGAUGCUAGAUAAAAGACUUGCAACACGCUUGAAUGAGGCCAGAAAACAAAGCCAAACAAGAGUGCAUAUUCACAUACUCUCUAUACACCCCUCAUAUACUCUCUCUCUCUCUAUCAACUCUAUAUUCUAUAUAUAGGCAGCCAUGGAACGGACAAGCACAGCUUUAAAUAGAAACUAGAAGACUGACAGCGCUAGAUCCAGGCAAAUUGAUCUGGCUACGAGCUGACGAAACAGUUUCCCAACAAUAAGCCACACAUGCUUGUAAAUGAGAGGCCAAAAAUGUAUUCCAAGUGCCCGGGGCAAAGGAGAGGGGACACGGGACACGGGACACGGCACGCAGGAUGCAGGAUGAAGGACGAAGGACGAAAGACGGCAUGCGUUCUCUAGCACACACUUCCGGCACGAGCUCGUCAGACUUGACUUGACUUGAGACUUCAGAAAACUUGGCUACUCUCGCUCUAUCUCUCUUUUUCGCUUUAGAGCGGGGGCGUGGCAGCAGCCCCAGAUG
RNAcentral lists this small RNA (1324 nucleotides) under Drosophila mojavensis. RNAcentral describes it as "GI25998". The record is from RNAcentral. Lineage: Eukaryota; Metazoa; Arthropoda; Insecta; Diptera; Drosophilidae.